Molecule: ribosomal RNA, 1068 nt
Filed under: Triticum aestivum (bread wheat)
Lineage: Eukaryota; Viridiplantae; Streptophyta; Magnoliopsida; Poales; Poaceae
Description: partial small subunit ribosomal RNA
Source: RNAcentral
AUGGCCCGCGGCCGCAAGCGCCCGCGCCGCCGCUCUCCUCGCCGCCCCCGCCAGAACCCAGCCCCGGCUUGUCGCCCCCCACCGGUGGCCGCACCGGGCGAGUGCCCGCGCUGCUUCAGCACUGGUCACCCCCGCUCGGAGUGCCGUCGCGCCAUCUGCUGCCGCCGCUGCCGGUUCCCGGGGCACGUGGCGCGUGACUGCACCGCCCCGCGUUCUCUGCGUUCCCUGGCUUCCUCCGCCGAGCCGCCGUCCAACGCCGCUGCGCGUCUUCUCCGCAAGCGGGCCACCCCUCCCCUUCGACGGCUUCUGCUGCCUCGGGCGCGAGUGUCGCCGGCCCCAGCCACCCCGCGUCCUUCGGGAGUGGGGGCCGGUCCUCGCCCGCCCUGGCGUCGCAGACGAGCUCUCCCCGCGGGUGCCCGUCCACCACAUCCAGCACGACGCCGGUCGUGCUCUCUGGUCACCCUGCCCUCCGCCCAGCAUCAGCCGUCUGCUACCUGCCAAGCACGGCUAGGUUGGUCGCCACCGAGACGGAGCUACGGGAGCGUGCCCUCACCGCAACCGUGGCUGGCAACCGCACCGGGGUUCGCCGCGAAGACGUCGCGGCGCUUCUGCGCGAGAGGUUCCACCUCGUUGACGACGAGUUCUUCGUCCACAGCCGCGGCCACGACGAGUUCCUCCUCAAGUUCUCCACGACCGAGGCUCGCGCUAGGGUGGCCCUGCGCCCGGUGCGAUCGCCACGUUUCCGUCUCAUCGUCCAUCCCUGGAGCCACUCUGCAGGCUGCGAGCCAGUCCAGCUGCGCUUCCCGGUCGAUGUUGAGAUCGCUGGCCUUCCUGAGCAGGCGUGGCGCCGGUCCUCCGUCGAGGCCAUGCUUGCUCCUUUCCUUGAGAUUGAACACCUCCUCCCCUCCACCCGCGACGGCAGCGACAUGUCCCGGUUCAGGUUCUCGGCCCGGACCGCGAACCCCGACGCCAUCCCCCGGUCCACCGACUUGCUGCUCCCAGAGCGGGACGCCGUCGAUGCGGACGCCGAUCCAGACCGGGCUGAGCGCUUCGUCAGGCACACCUUGA